AGGGUGUAAACGCUGCAGACUUGGUGUUGGAGGCCCUUUGGGGGCAUUCAGUGCCGGAGAGGAGUUGUUAAGUCUGCUACUUGGGGAGUACGUCCGCAAGGAUGAAACUUAAAGGAAUUGGCGGGGGAGCACCGCAACGGGAGGAGCGUGCGGUUUAAUUGGAUUCAACACCGUAAACUCACCAGGGAAGACUGUUACAUGAAGGCCGAGAUGAAGACUCUGCUAGAUUUUCAGAGAGGAGGUGCAUGGCGUCAGUGACU
RNAcentral lists this ribosomal RNA (260 nucleotides) under uncultured archaeon. Its description in RNAcentral is "partial 16S ribosomal RNA". It matches the Rfam family "Archaeal small subunit ribosomal RNA", at positions 748 to 1008 of the family's 1478-position model. The record is from RNAcentral.